AACGUAGGACACAAGCGUUAUCCGGAGUUACUGGGCGUAAAGGGCGUGCAGGCGGUUUCUUAAGUCAGGCGUGAAACCAUUCGGCUAAACCGGGUGUAGUCGUCUGAGACUGGGAGACUAGAGUGUGGUAGAGGCGUGUAGAAUUCCGGGUGUAGUGGUGAAAUGCGUAGAGAUCCGGAGGAACACCAGUGGCGAAGGCGACACGCUGGGCCGUACCUGACGCUAAGACGCGACAGCAUGGGGAGCGAACGGG
RNAcentral lists this ribosomal RNA (253 nucleotides) under uncultured bacterium. RNAcentral's name for it is "partial 16S ribosomal RNA". It matches the Rfam family "Bacterial small subunit ribosomal RNA", at positions 524 to 776 of the family's 1533-position model. The record is from RNAcentral.